CGGGACGGGGUGGAGUAAUGUCUGGGAAACUGCCCGAUGGAGGGGGGUAACUACUGGAAACGGUAGCUAAUACCGCAUAACGUCGCAAGACCAAUGAGGGGGACCUUCGGGCCUCUUGCCAUCGGAUGUGCCCAGAUGGGAUUAGCUAGUAGGUGGGGGAAGGGCUCACCUAGGCGACGAUCCCUAGCUGGUCUGAGAGGAUGACCAGCCACACUGGAACUGAGACACGGUCCAG
This 235-nucleotide ribosomal RNA is filed under the name uncultured bacterium. RNAcentral's name for it is "partial 16S ribosomal RNA". It matches the Rfam family "Bacterial small subunit ribosomal RNA", at positions 104 to 334 of the family's 1533-position model. The record is from RNAcentral.